GCUAGUUGAUCGGGCAUCACCUCCGUCGGCGACAUCACCUCCCCAAAGGCAUCACAUCCGUCGCCGGGAUCACCUCCUCCCCUUCAGGGUGAUUUUCUGAUGAUCUAUACCAUCGCCUGAUUGGAUUUAUGGUGCAGGAGAUCGACGCGCUGCGUCGAGAGCUGGUAGGAGUUAUAUCAUGGGAGGUCGGCACGCUGCGUCGAGAACUGAUAGGAGUUAUAUCAGAGGAGGUCGGUGCGCUGCGUCAAGAUAUGGUGGAGCGAGUCGAUGAUCUGGGACGCCAGUUGGUAGGGAAGGUCGAGGAUAUAGCUGAUGAUGUUAGAGUGCUACGUGGGCAUUUAGGAAACCUUGAGGAUGAGGUCAUAGCACUCUGAGGUGGUAUAGCAGGCAGACGAUGGGGGUGACGACUAGGAGGGUGAACGAGAGGAGAAUAAAGAUGGGGUCACCAUCAGUCGUGGUCGGAGGAUGCAUUGGAAUUCUUUUUUCAGUCCAUGGAGGAUAGGGUGACCCCGAGGGUGGAUGAGGGGAUAGCCCCGUUGGGGACGGGAGCGACGAUCGAGGACGUGGUGCUGAUGAGGGCAUAUGAGGGGGUCGAGAAGGUAGUAAUGACAGGGCAGAUGAGGGGGUGGGCCUAUCAAGGACGGGAGCUAUGGUUGAGGAGGUGGUGACGACGAUGACAGAGGAUGAGGUGGCGGUUGUCUAGCGGAGGAGAGGACGAUCCAAGAGGUGGACGAGGGGAGGACGACCAUCGUGACUGGAGCGAAAAAGAGUGCUGUUGAUGUGGCGAAGCUGGUGGUAGACAUGAGGCCGAGAGUGACGUCAUAGUACAUUAUCUCUCCCUUCACGGCUGAGACAAAGAAGAGUAGGUUCGUCGAUGGGACGAUCCCCAACCUAUUUCGGGAGGUGGACCAUGCUAAAUGGAAAGCGUUCGAGACAGAGUAGAGAAGAAUGUUGGCCGAGACCAGCCGUACGAUUGGUACUGUGACGAUCUCCGAUGCUUAUAAGUGGUUCCACGACAUCAUCACUUCAGGAGCUUGGCUUGACGACGAUCACAUCGACCAGGCCAUGGACUUGUUGCAUGAUAUGGUUCAAAGAUAUCCGGGGUCUUUUGACGGUUACGAAAUAUUUGUAAACACUGUAAUUGAUUAUUAAAUUACGACGUUCUUUGAAAUAUCAUAAAAUAAAUGCAAACACUGUUAUUUCAAAUGGACAACAUUACCAAAUGAUCUAACUGUCA
Olea europaea var. sylvestris is the source of this 1237-nucleotide long non-coding RNA. RefSeq lists it as uncharacterized. The record is from RefSeq and is a predicted model, not a curated record. NCBI's taxonomy places the organism in Eukaryota, Viridiplantae, Streptophyta, Magnoliopsida, Lamiales, Oleaceae. The transcript is spliced from 3 exons.